This 1504-nucleotide ribosomal RNA is filed under the name human gut metagenome. Its description in RNAcentral is "bacterial LSU rRNA". It matches the Rfam family "Bacterial large subunit ribosomal RNA", at positions 467 to 1977 of the family's 2925-position model. The record is from RNAcentral.
UAAAUACUCCCGAGAGACCGAUAGCGAACCAGUACCGUGAGGGAAAGGUGAAAAGAACCCCGAGCAGGGGAGUGAAAUAGACCCUGAACCCGUCUGCCUACAAGCGGUCGGAGCGUCGUAAUGACGUGACGGCGUGCCUUUUGCAUAAUGAACCUACGAGUUACCUUCCCCGGCAAGGUUAAGUACCUAAGGUACGGAGCCGAAGCGAAAGCGAGUCUGAACAGGGCGCCAAGUCGGGGGGGGUAGACGCGAAACCGAGUGAUCUACCCUUGGCCAGGUUGAAGGUUGGGUAACACCAACUGGAGGACCGGAUGGGUAAGCGUUGAAAAGCUUUCCAAUGAGCUGAGGGUAGGGGUGAAAGGCUAAUCAAACUCGGAGAUAGCUCGUACUCCCCGAAAUGCAUUUAGGUGCAGCCUCUUUAUAGUAUAUCGUGAGGUAGAGCGACUGAUUGGAUGCGAGGGCUUCACCGCCUAUCAAGUCCAGAUAAACUCCGAAUGCGCGAUAUAUAUUUACAGGGAGUGAGGGCGCGGGUGCUAAGGUCCGUGUCCGAGAGGAGAAGAAUCCAGACCACCGGCUAAGGCCCCCAAAUGAUCGUUAAGUUGAACUAACGAGGUCGGAUCGCAGAGACAGCUAGGAUGUUGGCUUGGAAGCAGCCAUUCAUUUAAAGAGUGCGUAACAGCUCACUAGUCGAGCGAUCUGGCGUGGAUAAUAAUCGGGCAUAAACGAUCUGCCGAAGCCGUGGAUGUCGCAAGACAUGGUAGGGGAGCAUUCCAUGCCGCGUCGAAGAUGAGGGAUGACCCUUGUUGGAGCGCAUGGAAAAGCAAAUGUAGGUAUGAGUAACGAUAAGGGGGGCGAGAAACCCCCCCGCCGAAAGACCAAGGUUUCCUGAUCAACGCUAAUCGGAUCAGGGUGAGUCGGGACCUAAGGCAAAGCCGAACGGCGCCGCCGAUGGAAGAAUGGGUUAAUAUUCCCAUACUGCCUCAUGGAGUGACGUGGAGACGGAGAAGUGACAGUCCUGCCGGCUGACGGAAUAGCCGGUUGAAGGGUGUAGAUAUUGAUUCCCGUAGGCAAAUCCGCGGGGAGAGUCGAACCUGAGAGUAUACGGAGCGCUUGCGCGACGUAAUAUGGACGUAACCAUGCUCCCGAGAAAAUCCGCUAAACUUAUCCAUGCGGCACCCGUACCGUAAACGGACACACGUGGUCGGGUUGAGAAUACUGAGGCGCUCGAGUGAUUCACGGUUAAGGAACUAGGCAAAUUGACCCUGUAACUUCGGGAUAAAGGGUCCUCGUCGUAAGGCGAGGCGCAGAGAAUAGGUCCAGGCAACUGUUUAACAAAAACACAUGGCUGUGCUAAAUGGAAACAUGAUGUAUACAGCCUGACACCUGCCCGGUGCCGGAAGGUUAAGAGGAGAUGUCAUCCGCGAGGAGAAGCGUUGAAUUGAAGCCCCGGUAAACGGCGGCCGUAACUAUAACGGUCCUAAGGUAGCGAAAUUCCUUGUCGGGU